This 253-nucleotide unclassified non-coding RNA is filed under the name uncultured Legionellaceae bacterium. Its description in RNAcentral is "contains 16S-23S intergenic spacer region". It matches the Rfam family "Bacterial small subunit ribosomal RNA", at positions 524 to 776 of the family's 1533-position model. Lineage: Bacteria; Pseudomonadati; Pseudomonadota; Gammaproteobacteria; Legionellales; Legionellaceae. The record is from RNAcentral.
UACGGAGGGUGCAAGCGUUAAUCGGAAUUACUGGGCGUAAAGGGUGAGUAGGUUGUAGUACAAGUUAAGUGUGAAAUCCAUGGGCUUAACCUGUGUAGGUCACUUAAGACUGUACAACUAGAGUAUGGGAGAGGGUAGUGGAAUUUCCGGUGUAGCGGUGAAAUGCGUAGAGAUCGGAAGGAACACCAGUGGCGAAGGCGUCUACCUGGCCUAAUACUGACACUGAAUCACGAAAGCGUGGGUAGCAAACAGG